UAAGCAUAUAAGUAAGCGGAGGAUAAGAAACUAAAUAGGAUUCCCUCAGUAAGGGCGACUGAACAGGGAUGAGCUCAGCAUGGAAAUCGGGGCCUGUGGCCUUGAAUUGUAGUCUCAAGUUGUACUGCCAACGGAGGCGCAGAUGUAAGCCUCUUGGAAAAGAGCAUCAACGAGGGUGAGAAUCCCGUUUGUCAUCUGCAGUCCCCCGUGCACGGCGUACUUCUAAAGAGUCACGUUCCUCGGGAUUGGAGCGCAAAGUGGGUGGUAAAUUUCAUCUAAAGCUAAAUAUAGGUUCGAGACCGAUAGCAAACAAGUACCAUGAGGGAAAGGUGAAAAGGACUUUGAAAAGAGAGUUAAAAGUGCCUGAAAUUGCUGAAAGGGAAGCGAAUGGAACCAGUGCUUCUUGGCAAGAUUGGUGCGUGCUAAUGUGAUUGGCUGCUGCCUCAGCGCAAGCGUGGUAGUGGUUUUUGAUCAGGAUGUGCGUGUUGUUUCUUGCCUUGUGUGUCAACGUCAGUUCUCAAUCGAGGAAAACGCCAGGGACAUGGUAGCUCUGCUGCGGUGGAGUGAAUGUGCUUGGUUGAACUCAUUUGUGGACUGGUUCUUGCGUGUCUGGUUGCAGUGUUCUUUGCUUUCCAGCUCUGCCUGUGAAGGGGAUCUCCUCUUCCAGCUGAACUGGGGAACUAGGGCAUCUCCCUGACACAACGACGCUGACUAAAUGGUUCUAUUCGACCCGUCUUGAA
RNAcentral lists this ribosomal RNA (740 nucleotides) under Heterocapsa minima. RNAcentral's name for it is "partial large subunit ribosomal RNA". It matches the Rfam family "Eukaryotic large subunit ribosomal RNA", at positions 35 to 658 of the family's 3401-position model. Lineage: Eukaryota; Dinophyceae; Peridiniales; Heterocapsaceae. The record is from RNAcentral.